This 510-nucleotide ribosomal RNA is filed under the name uncultured bacterium. Its description in RNAcentral is "partial 16S ribosomal RNA". It matches the Rfam family "Bacterial small subunit ribosomal RNA", at positions 28 to 507 of the family's 1533-position model. The record is from RNAcentral.
GACGAACGCUGGCGGCGUGCUUAACACAUGCAAGUCGAACGGGAUGAUUUAGAAGCUUGCUUUUAGAGAAUCUAGUGGCAAACGGGUGAGUAACACGUAGGCAACCUGCCGACAGGAUGGGGACAACAUUCCGAAAGGAAUGCUAAUACCGAAUGAAGCGCAGGAGAGGCAUCUCUCCUGCGUGAAAGAUGGCCUCUAUUUAUAAGCUACCACCUGUCGAUGGGCCUGCGUCUGAUUAGCUGGUUGGUGAGGUAACGGCCCACCAAGGCGACGUUGAGUAGCCGGUCUGAGAGGAUGAACGGCCACAUUGGGACUGAGACACGGCCCAGACUCCUACGGGAGGCAGCAGUGGGGAAUCUUCCGCAAUGGGCGCAAGCCUGACGGAGCAACGCCGCGUGAGUGAAGAAGGUCUUCGGAUCGUAAAGCUCUGUUGAUGGGGACGAACGUGCGAAGGGUGAAUAAACCUUUGUAAUGACGGUACCUGUCGAGGAAGCCACGGCUAACUACGUG